CUUAAGGGUGCUUGAACAAUGGGCUCCGAAUCUGAUCUAGUCAAAUCUGGUUCAGGUUCAGCAACUUGUGUCGGUUUUUCCACCUGUCGAACUUCAUCAAGUUCGACCUUAGAGGCAACAGUCCCUUCAUCAAGGAACUCUUUUUUCAAAAAGAUUGCCUUAAGUCUGACAAACACCUUUUGCUCAUCAGCCAGGUAGAAAUAAUAUCCUUUGGUCUCUUUUGGGUAUCCUGUAAAAUUACACUUGUC
RNAcentral lists this long non-coding RNA (248 nucleotides) under Elaeis guineensis (African oil palm). RNAcentral's name for it is "long non-coding RNA (EGUI_LNC062462)". Lineage: Eukaryota; Viridiplantae; Streptophyta; Magnoliopsida; Arecales; Arecaceae. The record is from RNAcentral.